CAAGACAUUGUUAUAACACCACCCAAAGCAACAAACUAAAAUCGCACUCUCGGUUCUAUCUUAUUUCUGUACCUCAAAACCCUAGCUUCUCUGUCCACGCCCUAGAUCUGCUUCGCCUCCGUCCCAAUCUGUCUGCUUCGCAACUGUCUCACCUGUGCUCCGUCCCAACUGUUCGAUGCGUCGGCCACGUCGGCGACCACCAGAGACGACGGUGACAACACCUGCCAUUAAAUCAUCAACUCGUCACACACCUCAAACGGCUGUUACCGGAAGACCUGAGAAGAUUAUUGGCCGCAUGAAGUCAUAUUUUGAUUUUCUUUCUAAUAGAAGUUGGCAACAAGUUUGAUUCAGUUGCAUACUCCCCCGGUUGAUAUUUGGUACGCAUCUACUGCAAAUUUUGAGCAUUUCGAAUGCAGAGAAUCUGUUCGUAAAUAGAUCGGCGUUGAAAGAUGAUAGGAAUUACGAAAUCGGGAUACCUGGAAUGGCAGGUAGUGGAAAAACGAGGAUGCCGAAGAAAUCGCCAAACAAGCUGAAAAAGAUAAGCUUUUUUAUGAGGUUGCCAAGGCAGUCUUCUCCCAAAAUCCAGAUCUAAAAAAACAAAGGUGGUCAAAUCUGUCAUUCAAACCAGAGAUUGAAGUUGGGAGAAAGGGGAGCUCCACGACAGAUUGAAGAAUGGUAAAAAAGAUUCAUUCUAAUAAUUGAUGACAUUUGGAAUGAUAGAAAUUAAGUUGGAGGAAAUAGAAAUCUCAUCUUCAAAUCAAGGGCUGCAAAGUUUUGCUGAUCUCCCGGAGAAAAGUUGUGCGCAUUCAACUUAAUUGUACAAGUGCAUCAUCCCACACAUGCUUUUCUGUUGAUAGCUCAGUGUUGCUCGAACUACAAUUGAGAAAAGCAUGUUGGGAUGAUGCCCUUGUAUAAUUGAGAAAUUGCAGGGGAGAGAACAUCCAUGCAUAGAGUGGAGCUACAAGUAUCUAAUGCGACCUUGUUUCCAGGGGAUGCUGAGAUUCCGAUUGAUGACUUGGCGAUGUAUGGAGUGGCAAUGAGGUUUCUCAAUGAUAGCUAAUAUACAAUGAAAACAACCAAAGAUAGAACAUUUGUGUUGGUUGAUAACCUGUAGAAAUCUCAUUUGCUGUUGGAAGGUGAAAGCGAGGACUUCGUCAAAAUGCAUGCCAUCUCAAUUGCAUCAAAAGAGGGAUUUUUAGCCAAAAUGGGUGUCCCAAAGUGGCCAGAGAAAGAUGAGUAUGAAUCUCGUGGGGUAUUCUCAUUGAUAUCCCAAAAUAUUUGUGAGCUUCCUUGUGUCUUGAACUCUGCCUCUUGGUAUUGUUAUGCGACUUCAAUCGUAAACCAUGUGGUGUAUUCUCAUUGAUAUCCCAAAACAUAUGUGAGCUUCCCUGUGUCCAGAACUACGCACAUUGUCAUUGUUAUGCGACCUCAAUCGUAAACCACAAAUUCCAUAUAGCUUUUUUUAAAGGGACGGAAAAGCUUGAAGUUUUAGAUUUGGGUGGUGUGCGACUGCCAUCAUCACCUCUAAAUCUGAUCAACCUUCAAAUGUUGGGUCCCUAUUAUUGUGGGCAGGUGAACUUGGUUUUUCCAAGGAGCUAAGAAAUCUUGAGGUACUAAGUGUUUAUGAUUCUAUUCUCAAAGAGGUGGCUCUGGAAAUAGGACAGUUGAGGAAUUGUACUUUUUCAUAUGAAUGUCGGCGGUGGACUGAAGAAGGGAAUAAUGCCAGGCUGAUGAACUUAAUUUAUAGACACGCCUAACCACUUUUUCCUCAUAAAAAAGCACCACUUUUUCCUCAUAAAAAAGCUUAUCUUUUUCAGCUUGUUUGGCGAUUUCUUCCGCCAUCCUCGUCUUUCCAACACCUGCCAUUCCAUGUAUCCCGAUUUUGUAAUUCCUAUCAUCUCUCAACGCAUCUGUUUAUGAACCGAUUCUUUGGAUCCGAAAUGCUCAAAUGUUAUGGUAGAUGUGUACCAAAUAUCAACCAGAGGAGCAGGGUGUCCAACUAUAUCGAACUUUUUGUCAGCCUCUAUUAGCCUAGAAACAUCAGACAAUAACUCUCUACCUUCCUGACCAAGCUGAUGCCUUGGAAGUUCGCUCUCCUUGAUUGUUCUCCUGAUUCUUUUUCCUUCAGAAGGACCCAGUUGGUUGGUGGUUGAUAAUCUUUGAUUGAUCUCCUUGUUUUGAUGUUUUUUUUACUCAAUCAUGUAUAAGAUGGUGACAUUUAUGAAGUUCUUGAUUGAUUGUCUUAGCUA
Long non-coding RNA from Cornus florida, 2249 nucleotides. RefSeq lists it as uncharacterized. Lineage: Eukaryota; Viridiplantae; Streptophyta; Magnoliopsida; Cornales; Cornaceae. The record is from RefSeq and is a predicted model, not a curated record. The transcript has 2 exons.